AUUAAUUCAAAGAAAUGGAUUAAAGUUUUGCCCUCAUGAAUUUGGACAUGACCCCAGAUACUGUUUGUGUACUUUACUGGGAUUCCUUGGUACAGCUUUAUAAUUCUGGAAUGACUCUUACUGCUUCUGUCUUUGGAGCAUGGCUGUGCAUAUGAAGCUACUGAGAAGAGUGGCCAAAGCAAUUUGGAAGGAAUGACUCUUCACAAGAUUUAGUUCCGUCUCAUACUUCCAGGGCUGGUGAAAGGAAAUCUCUCAUUUCUAAAAGAGAAUUUCAGCUGUUCUGAAGCCUGCAGAUGCUGAAUAAGUACCUACAAGCAAAAAAAAAAAAAUCUUGACCUCUAUCUUGUAUCCUUUAUUACCUCAAAAAUUUGGAUAUAAUCAUUUAGGGAAGGUUGGCAAAACAAGGUUUAUUGGCCCUAAAUUUACCUAGCCUAUCUCAUUCUUCUUCAAGAUUGAGGACACCAAGAUAAGAGUAACUAAAAUAAUUCUCAGGGGCAUCAGCUUGAACAACAUCCAGUUUCAGAUCCUCUCCCUGCAGCAACACCCAGAGGUUUCCAGCAUUGUCCUAAACCUCGCAGACCACUCCGUGAUGAGAUCAACUUCUGAAGCAAGAACAGUCAUCUUAUGGGAACCAAAUUGCCCCUCAAACCAUGAUGAUUCCUCUUGAACUAGAAAGCAGGACCUCAGCCCACCACAUCACCCUGUAAAAUUGGUCUCCAUUCUUUUAUGAAGGGGCCAGUCUGAUUCACCUCUUUAGAUCUCUUCCAUCUGCUCUUAUUUUCCUUUGUUAGGGGACUGGCUUAAGCUGUGUCAGAGCUGUGUUCCCCUUUAUUUUCUCUUACUUUCCAAGUAACGCUUUUGCUGUACAUUAAUACUGUUGCUUUAGUUCCAAUUUCUGUAAUCAUGAAAGCAAGGACCCAUACUAGCUGGUGACAAAGUGUUUGCAACUAAAUCCUUUCUCUUUUGUGCUCCAUUUCAUUGUACUGCAUGACAACCAUUAAGUAUUUAGAGAAAAACUGAUGGCGGAAAAAAGCCUUUAAUUGGAUUUGGAUGGAAAUGCCCUGAUUAGAAGCCUAAAUUGUGUAAGACUAAACACUGUACAAUUCAUAUAAAUCUGGAAAUAAAGAAUUUCUGGUAUUUGUGUAGGUUAGUUCCUGAGCCCAUGUGAUAUGAAAGCUCCCCUGAGGAGCUUCUACCUGCUCUUCUGUUUCUGCCACUCUUAAACCCUCACUUCCAGGUGUCAACUUGUUAUGUCACCUUGAAGUUUCUGUGAUCAUAUUAUAAGGACUAUUGUAUUAACAUUGGACCCAGCUGGAUAAUCUAGGCUACUCUCUCACAUUUGAAGAUCCUUAACUCAAUCAUACAUGCGAAGUUUUUGCCGCUCACAGGUUAUGGGGAUCAGGGCAUAGACCCUCCCCCACAACUUAAUUGGAUUGAAAUUAUUCUCUAUGUGAUUCCAAAUAACUGACCUCCAACCUGAAUGUGUAUAAUUCAUGUGAACUUCUAAACAUUCCUUUCCCACCCUUUCAGCUUCAAAAGGUGAUAUAUUGUGCUUUCAUCAUCAAUCAUCAUCAUCAUCAUCAUCAUCCUGAGAAAGUCUAAAACAUAAUUACAGAACUUUAAGGUAAAGUAACAUCAAAUUUCUACUAGUCUAGGAUCAGUUGAGUAUUUAUUUCUAUGUUCUUGAGGCCUGGAGAUGGAAAAUAAAACACUUGAAUUUAUUUAUAAAAUUCUCACUUAAAUAGUCUUCCACAAUCCCCAUUGAAUCCCUGGCAACUUACUCUUCCAAUGGUUUCCUUCUUUAGCAAAGAGCAUCGAGAGAGUAUUAAACUUGAUGUAAUAAAAAUGUUCAGCAUCUUGAUCAAGGAAACAGAUAUACAUUUUCUAGUAUGAUUAGACAGAAUUUGAAGUCUCUUCAGAUCUUCAAUUUCUAUGAUUCUGUUGAAGGGUUUCUUAAAAUGAUAUUGAUGCUAAUAUCAAUGUAAUACAGUACUUUAAAGAAACUGCCAAUCUGUAACUCACUCUAGUAUUGCUCACUAGUGAACUUCUGUUGCUAAAGUUUUUCAAAGGCCUAUCACAUAGUUUGUCAAUAAUUUUCAGUGAUCCUUGUACUUGGUACCAGUGUAGUAAAAAAAGAGCUGAGAUUUAUAGUUGAAUGAAUCUGGACUCAGAUUUUAGCAAUGCUAUAGGCAUGUAUGCCAAUUUCUCUAAACUAUUGCUUCCUUAGUGGAAAAAAGGGAAUAGCAAGACCCAUAUUGCAGGGACUGGGGAAUUAGAUGUGAUAAUGAUGGAAAGUACUAGGUGCUGCCUACUGCAUAGUAGACACUCAAUAAAUGCUAACCCCAGACAUUCUGCCAAUGUUUAUCUUCUCCAGUGUGUGGCAGGAACUGAGCUUGGCUCUAAUUGCUUCCUUUUCCUCAUCAAAUUCAUCAUCUUUCACAGAAAAGAAGCAAACUGCCUCUAAUUUGACCCCUAACGACCUUGUCAAACUGUAUUAAUGUCCAUAAUAAAAAACAAGAGCAAAUAUGUUAAUGAAUAGUAAGAUUAUAGUUCUAGUGUAAAGAAUAAUUAAUUGUUAGCUUGAGUGAAGCUCCAUGUCUUCUGAUGGCUGCUGUUAUAUAAAAUUAUGAACUGUAAGAAACAAAAGGCCAGUAAUGGUCACAUGUGGCUGGCACGAGGGACUGUUAUAGUCCAGGAAUUCUCAGGUCAAAGAUAUGUUAAUUAUUGAAACAAAACAUGACUAUAAUCUAUUCUUUAUUGUGCUGUUUUUAUAAACAAAUUUGUUACAACUUUUAGCUACACUGUUUGUUUUCUUUCCUUAUUUAUGAUAGGAACAAACUGAUCAAAAUUAGAUGUAAAAACGUGUUAGUCUUUUCAGUUUCUUAUUUCUUUCAAACUUUUCUGACAUAUUUUGUGCUCCUUAAAUACAGAGAAAGAUUAUGUUGUUAAAUGUCAAAGGUAGAUGUCUCAACAUUAUGUUCCUCUACCUUGGGUCUGAACAGCAAAUGCAUUUGAGGUCAUUAUACUCCCAAAAUAAGAAAUGUAUAUUGUUCUGAAAUUUCUCAAGUUUAGCUCUCUUUCCUUAGACCAGCAUUGUUGUAUCUUAUUUGGGACUGCCAAUGCAGGUUAUAGAUUCAGCAGUGGUAUAAUAGUUACAUUCCCAUCUACCCAUUCCUUGUGAUUAAAAAAAAUUUUUUCUUAAUGAAAUUAUUUUUUCUUUAUACCUCACAUACAUGUAUUUUAGAAAACACACUUAUGCCUCUAAUAUCUGUAAACUAUUUUGGACUCUGAAUGAUUAACUUCCGUCUUACGUUGCUUAGUAAGAAGUAGUCUGAAGUUCACUCAUUGAAACACACACAUGCACAUGCACACACACCUGGCACAGAGCCUCUUUAUGUAGUAAAAAAAGGAGUAGAGUAUUCUGUGGUACAGAAUCAAGGGUGUAGAGGUUGGGCCUGUUAGUUAAAAUUAAUUUAACUUGAAUGUUCAUUUACUACCCCUUUUAUAAUUAUUAUGCCUCUCAAGACUUAAUGAAAUUUCAGAACAUGACACUGAUGGGGUAGUUUUGUUACUAAAUAAAUUCUGGAUAAAUAAAAUUCAAAGCCAAGAAUCUGAAAGCUUCAUUGCUGCAGGAAUAUAAAUUCACUGAAUUAUUAGUGGGAACCAAGGAAAUUUGUAAGCUUUAAAUUUAUCUCAAUUCAGAAAAGAGCACUAGAGAUAUUUUGCUACUUAAAUUGUGUGUACUUAUCAAGAUUAAAGGAUUUUUCUUAAGCCAAAUUAUAGCUCUCUAGUACUUCCUGUGGAAACUAUCUAGCAUGACUAUUAAUGUGUAGCUCAUCUUCUCAGAGAGUCAUUACUAAUUGUAAAUUACUAUUAAGUAUGACUAUGCUCUUAAUUACAGUAGGUUUUGGACUGGUCAGUAGAAGGUCAGUGGAGAGGAAUCAUUUUCCCUUCCAAUAAUGUGAAUGGCAUAUAUCAUGAUUUAAAAUUUUCUAGCGUCCUUAAAAUUUAAAAAGUAUGAUUAUCAACAUUAUAAAUUAAACCUUAUGCAUUAUGUUCUCUCAUACAAAAUCAGAAGUCCACUGAUUUCACUUAUCUCUAAUGUGCUUCUAUUUCCUAUAUAAGAAGACCUUAGACUCAGUUUACUAGUGUAAAUUAUUACUUUUUAGUAUUACACAUGUUCUUUUUCAAGAAUUAUUAUGUUUUCACCCUGUUUUAUAUUGCUGUAAAAUAAUUAUACAAAAGAUUCUAUAUUAAAAAAGCAUUAAUCUUCUUUAUUAUUCUUUGUUAAAUAAUUUACUCAUCCUUGGACUCUAUUUUGAUUUUUCUUUUUCGGCCUUUAGGAUUUUUUAGUCUUUAGAAAUCUGUGGGGCUUGUUUUAUUACUACUUAUCAUUUUAUCCAAAAUGUGGUAUUUUGAUAAUUUUGUUUUAUUUUUUCUUAUUAUUUUAUUUAAUUGCUGUGGAGAAGAGCUCUGAGGACAAGCUGAGUUUUUUUUCCUUUACAAGUAAUAUUUUCCCCCUGCAAAACCCAACCUCCUCUGCCUGACUCCUUAUAAGAAAUUAACUUUCCUUUCGACAUUCAAAUAUUUAACCAGGAUAUGACCAAGUGCUGAUCUCAUCUUAAUAUUGUUGCUGGCUAUAUGAUGAACACCUUUGAUCUGCAAAAUCAGAUCGUCAGCUCAGGGAAGUAUUUUUCUAUGUGCAUAACUUUUAUUUUGAUUUCAGUACUUCUUUCUCAUUUUCAUUUGUCUGUGAUCUAAGAGAGGGAUUCUGUCUUCUCCUUUACACAGGUAAUUCAGUUUCCACAGUAAUGAUUCUACUCUUUAUUGGUUAUAAUGCAGUUUAAAAUUUUAAUUAUAGUAAUAUUAGUCUCUUCCUAUUUUUCAUAUUUACCUAGUUCACUUUAUUUUUCUGUAUAUGACAAUGAUCUAAUCUUUCUCCUUUGUCUCAGAGUUGUUUUAUUGAAAUUUAUUAUGAGCACAAAGCAGGUGCUAUCUGAAUUUGAUUUCUGUUUUAAUAUAUAAUUUUUUCAGGUAGAUAGGUACUCUGUCUCUGUUUUUUGAUUACAGGGUUAUCUACCUUGGUUUUGCAGAAUCUUUUCAUAUAUUCUAUAUUGUUUAUCCAUCCUUGAACAUGAAGAGAUUGAGUUAGGCCUGACAUUAAGUAUAAAUCAGGUAGGAAGUUUCUGUGUGGGUCCUCAAUUCCUAAUAUGCCUAAAUCCAUUAGGUUAGACUCUUCGGUGUUUAGAUUGGAGGACUAGCUGAUGUAAGUUUUCAUGGUUAGGUCAGUGAUCUCACCAGCCAGUUAGGCAUGGAGAAAGAUGUAGGGCUUUAGGAAAGUCCAGAAGAACCAAUUUGUCUCUGAACCAUUACUCCCUGAGUUUGGUGAGGCAUGGGCACUGGGAGUGACCUUUUUGUGUCUGUUGUAUCCACUGCGUCAGCUUUUGCACCUACUCUGUGUCCCUGUCUGAUCUCUUUACUACUGUCCAAGGCUCAGAAGAGCUCCCCAAUACUAACAGAUGCCAGUCAUUCUGGAAUUUUCCCUUUAAUAGGCCACACUUACUUUUAAUAUCCCUCAAAGAGCUGCUUAUCAUCCAUGGUGGUGAAGUGGUUCCUAAUGGAAAGUUCUCUAUUUCUUCUGCUAGCUACCAUUGCAAAGGAAAAGAAAUAAAAAUCUAAUUCUCCCUCCUCCCUUUAGGGAGUGUGAGUGUGUUCUAUCUAUUUGCUUAAUAAAUAUGCGUUAAAUUUAAUUAUUGUUGAAUUGUCUUCCUACAGUUUUAAGUAGAAUGACCCCUCCUACGUACCAACAACAACAAAAAAGAUUAUCAGAAAUUUCUGGAAAUACAGCUUUUGUAAAAUAACACUUCUGACAACCAAUCUAACAACUUCAGUGAUGAUAUUGCUUAGGGAAGUUCAGGAGUCUAAUUCUACAGCAAAUUUCAGGUGGAAUGUCCUUCUUAAGGUAGCCACCCACCAUCGCAGGUCAGUAAGUAACAGUGACUUUCACUCUUUUAAAGGAAAAACACUAAUGCAAAUGUUGAUCAACAUCUAUUAACAAUGACUGAGCAAUGCUCAUUGCUUGGAAAGGUGAGAGGGUUAAAAUUUGAAUCAUUUUCUGAGGAAACCUGUUCAAGUCAGGCUAUAACUUCAUACUUCUGAGAGCAUGACAGGAUUGUAUCCCUAGGAUUUUUCUUCAAAUCUCUAGAUUCUACUUUUUCCGCCUUGUUUUUUGUUUCUCUUGAGCACUUCCAUGCCCAGACUAGGAGGCUAUUUUAGUAUCACUGUUCCGUAAAUUCUUUAGAUUAACCUUUAGUGGCACCAAAAUAGCCUAAGUAUGUGGAUAUACAGAUCUUAAUUAAUUUUUAAGGCAUAAUAGAGUUCCUAGAUACAAUAUAUGUUUUAAAAAAGAAAAGAAUUAGAAAACAGCUUAUCUAAGGAACUUACAAAUCAAUAAGAUAAACAACCAUACCAAAUGAGAAGCAGAAAAUAUAAGCAGACAUUUCACAGAAGAAAAAAUCCAGGUGAUCACAAACAUAGAAAGAGACAGCCUUACUAAUACCCAGAGAAAUACAAAUUAAAACAUCCUGAUGACAUUUCACAACAGUAAAAUUGACAGAGUCUAGGAAGUUUGUUAAAUGAAGUGUUGGUAGGGGAAAAGAAACUCUUAAUCACUGAUGGCAGAAGUACCAAUUGAUACAACUGCUUUGGACAGUGAUUUUGUGAUAGUAAGCAGAGUCGACUAUCUAUCUAUCUAUCUAUCUAUCUAUCUAUCUAUCUAUCUAUCUAUCUAUGUCCUAUGACCUUCCAUUUGGCUUCUGGGUUUCCAUCCUAGCGAAAUCUUUGUACUUCUCUGAGCCAUUCUUUUAAUAACAAUAAAUUGGAAAUGACUCAGAUGUCUAUCAGCAAGAGAAUGGAAACUACUAAACUGUGGUAUAUUGAUGAAGAUGGAAUGUUAUGCAAUACCAAAGUAAAUGAACAUUCUCAUAUGUCAACAUGGACAGGUUUUAAAGGCAGUGUUGAAUGAGAAAAAGGGAUUACAUUUUGAUACCACUUAUUUAAAUUUAAAAUGGCAAGCAAUGGUAAUACAGCAUUUAAUGAAUAUAUGUGAAUAUAUACACAUUGUAUGAUUAUAUGUGUGAAUUAAAUAUAUUUCAUUUUAGAAGAGUUUAUCUUCUAGGAUUGGAGAGAUGUAAAUGUAUCUGUGGAUGGAAAAAGAGAAGAUGGCAAUUUUCUUGUAAUGUGUGUGCCCAUUUCCUUAAAUAAAAGAGCUCUGGAAGUAAAUACUGCAAAGCAUGGCUCACUUACAAUAGUGGGUACAUUAGUAUUUGCUGUAUUUCCUUGUAAAUAUUAGGCUUUUGUAUUAAAAAAAAAAAAGGGAUCCUGUACAUAUACUCUUUGGGCCCCUAAUCUGUCACUAAAUUCUCUGCUGGUCCUAUGGGUGCCAGAACAUCAGCAACAUGCUGGAGGGCUUGCCUGUCCUUUCUGCACAUGGGAAGCUGUUUUCUAGCUCUUGAUUUUGUCUAGACAUAGUUUUUCUGCAGUGUUUUUCUCAGCUGCACAUAUGUUAAAUACCUCUGAAAAGUGACAUCAAUCCACUUUCAGGGGAGAAACAAUUUUAAAACUGCAAUUCAUCUGCAAUGAUUCUUAUUUUUAAUAUUUUAGGAUAAAUAUUAAAAUGUCAUCUAAAUGACAACAGUGCAAAUAAUGGAUUUUUAUACUCAGACAUUAUUGUUAUCUACUUCAUCUGCAAUGUUAUUUGAUACCUUAGGAGAACAAGAUUCUUUAUAAAAGUAGAUUGUGAUCUCUCUGUUUUAAAACACAACAUGAGAGGUAGACAUCUUUUCUUCUUACAUUUCCAAUCUAAUAAUCCUCCUUUUCAAUAGCCUUAGUGUUAUAAAAAAAUAAAAUUCAGAAAAAGAGUUGUACUUCUAUGGACCUCACCAGAAUCAUGUGGAGGGUUUUGAAGUGUUUUAAAGGAAAUUUCUGCCUUGCCUUAGGCUAGAGUAAGGGCUAGGAGUGAAGAGGGUGGAUCCAUAGGAAAGAAGGCUCAGCUCUGGUGUGAAGUGCUGUGGUGAUUAGAGGAAAUGACUUAUCAGUUCCUUUGUGAUCUCCAAAAGAAACCAUUUGUGAAAUCAAUGGCUGCCUGGCAGAGCCCAUCAACUGGCGGUCAAAGAUAUAUAUCUUCAUUACUAUCAGUUACCUGUGUCCUUUGGGUGGCUAGAAGGGACCUAAAUUCUAUAGGCCAGAGCACCAUCAUGAGUAAAGGCAUCACACUGAUUUACAUGCAAUUAUUAUAUGCAAGGGGAAGCUUGGCACUACUUUAUCUUACAGGAAAUCAAAUGCUGGCUUAACUGUUAUUAUCUAGACAGCUUAAUAUGUUCCUUAUGAGAAAAUUUCCAAUCUAUAUCAACCCACUUACAAGAACUAAUAGAUAGAGUGGAAAACAUAAAAUAUAAUUACUGUGGCAAUGAUGUGCACAAUCACUUCAGCUGCUGGGCUACUUUGGGAUGUUUAAACAGCUAAUGUGAAGUCAGGAAGGGGAGAACAUUUUUCUGAUUAGUGCUGUGUAGGGAAUACUGAGAAAAAGUACAUAGAAAAUGCUUGUAGCCAUGUGAAAUAGCCCAAGUGGAGCUGAAAUAAGACCCCCUUUCAUCCUACAAGUUAUUUUGGGGUUAGAAUGUUUAAAUAAAAACAAGAUGGAUAGUUCCUCAGGAUUUCAGAGCUGGAACAGAGAACCUUUUGCUGAGGCAAGGAGGAAUGGUGGAGGCAGUCACAUUCCAAUGAAAAAGUCCUCUACCAUGGAGGUUUGGCUCAGAAAGCAGUGGCUGGGCAUCUGGAGCCUGAAGACUUACACCUUUUAAUGGGGAAUACCUCUUUUUUUAAAUUUUUUUAAAUUUUUUUUUUUGGGGGGGCGAAAUAUCUCUUUAUAGGUCCUUGGAAAUUUUGGAUCCUUGUGGUCUGGCAUGGCUAGGAGAUUGCAUCGUAGUGUAAAUAAGCCACACUGGGCUUCAGCAUUUUUCUUCUAAACAAUUCAAAUAGACCUUAAGAUAGUUAUUGGGACUUUGUGGGGUGAGGGUCACAUAAAUAACAGCUCACUUGCCCCUUUGGAUUUAGAAGUCAUUGAAAAAUAUAUUACUGGAAAGGACGUGGCUAAACAUCAAAAUGCCAUGUUUAGUGGUUCAGUUGAAUUGGAACAACUUGGAUCUGCAACUACCAGUACUUUCUCUGAAUGAAGCUCACUACCCAGCCACAGGCCUCUCCUAAGGCAGGACACUCAGGUUAUAUUCUGGGACACGGCUGUUCCUAUAGUUUGAAGGCUGAGGCCCAUGGUCCAGCCCUUCUCCCCAGUUCACUCAACUACUCAGGGAGGAGAAGGAGGAGGAAGAGGAAAAAGAAGGGAGUAGUAAGAGGCAGACCCAAAUAUUUCUCCCACACUUUUCCUGCUUAAUGUUUCUCUGUAUAGAAAUAUGAAAAGUAUUAUAUUAUCUCUAUAAUGGUCCUUGACCAUAUCAAAGAUCUAUUUAUUCUAAUUACAUCUUUGGGCUAAGAUUAGUCAACAUAUAGGAAUAUAUAUUUUGGAAUUGCCAGGAGCACUCAGAUAUCAACUCUGGGAAAUUAUAAACUAACAGUUAUUGAGUAUUAGCCAUGUCAGUCUAAGCUGCUCAUCUACAGAUGCAAAAUCAAAAGCCCUUAUAAGAGCAAUUUGCUCAGGGUCAGAGUUAGUUAACUGCAGGCUGGGACCAGUAGCCAGGGUUCUUUCUCCUUGGGUAAGGCUUCCUUUUAAGGAACUGUAUUCAUAUCAGUACUGGGAUAUUACUAGUAAAUAUUUUGGUGGGAGUGGUGCUACUUACAAUCUGACAAUCUCUGUUCCAAUAACAUGUUAUCCUAUUUCAUCCUUACAAUCAUAGUGAAAUUGAUAAUAUAAUUGUUUUCAUUUAACAGAUAAAAAAAUUCAUUCUCUAAGAGAGAAGAGAGACUUGUCCAAGGUCAUUCAGCAAAUGAGUGAGGACUCAGAUCCACCCAACAUUCUUCCCUAAAUCAAAGCUAUGAAAGAUCAUUAGGGAAGAUCUUGCCUAAUCUUCCAAUUCUACUGCACGGAAACAGGAAGUAUGAUUCCAAAGAAUGGGCCUAUGAGUGCACUUCCAAACCACAGCUAAUUUUCCCUAAGAGUCUUCCGGAUGGUGGGUUUUUUGAGUACUUUCCAGAAAAAAAAAGUCAAUUAAUAUCUUACUGUUACUUGUACAUAGAAUUGUAUAUAACUGUUCAAUAAAUUGCAAAACAGAGCCUCUGGCUUCACACAUUACUGAUAAUGAACAUCAGAACUUUGGUUGGUUCAAUUAACACAUUGUAAUUUCACUCAAUGAGAUGACUUUCAAUUAAAAACUUGUUAACUGCAUACAGAGACUAGAAGAAAGGCCAAAUGCUAACAUGUGGCAUCCUUUAAUUACAUGAAGAAAUGUUUGGAAUUCAAAGGUGAUGGGAAGCAUUUUGAUCUCCGCAUAAUGAACAAUUGUUCAUUAUCAUAGUCCUAUCGAAUUCUAAUUACUUACAGGAAUUAUAUGAUCCCUUAAAUAUUAGAAGUGGCAAAUACAGUGUAUACAAUAUUUUCAUGAAGUAAGAUUACUACAGGUUUAAUAGUGAAAUACAGUGAAGUCUUCCAAAAUUUUUGUUGUGUUUAUGCAGAGUCAGUGAGGUAAACAAUACAGUUAGAAUCAGGCAGACUACCAGAUAACAUGUUGACCUUCACUUUCUUCCCACUUCCUUCAGACAAAGGAAGCUUGGGAGGAGUAACAGGGGUACCUGCAGAUAACGUUUAAAAAGGAAAGAUGGUCAAGACAUGAGCUCUUGAGCCACAGAUUUUUAACUAUAUCACUUUCCCAGAGGAAAGUUAACUUUCUAUGGGGAAAGUUAAUCAAUGCAGAACUGGAAAAUCUGCCCGGAUAAAGAAUAGUCUGUGGUGCUGAAGUUUUGGCCCCAUGUUCUAAUGUUGAACUUGAUCAGCUAGGGGUACUUGAAGGACUCUUGCUGAGAUUGGCCAGGCCCAAGCUGUCUAAAAUGAAAAGUUCAAACUGUCUAAAAUGAAAACAGGAUAAAACUUUGGCUUUUUUCUCCAAAUUUGAAGGACCCAUUCUUAAAUUUUAGCAUUUCCAUGAGGGGUUGCCUGGUCAGGAGUAUAGAUUCCAGUGAAGGAGGCCUGAGGAAGUCAGAGUCACUCAUUGGUAGGCCACAGAUCAUGGCUGGUCCAUAGACAUAUUUUGUUCGGCUUAAGUAGUGUUUAAUUCUUACCUAAUUUUAGAAUCAAGAGACUUCUACAUGAAAUAAUUGUAUUUCUAGCUCUCUUUAAAAGUCAAGAUGUAGCUAGCUUAGCUCAUGUUUUUCCUGGAGGCUGGAGCUACACUGUGGCUACCCAUUCAGGUGAGAUAUAGACUCCUCACUUUGUUUUGUUUUGUUUUUUUUGGUACCGAGGCUCGAACUCGGGUCCUUGCGCUUGCGCAGCAGGUGGCAAAACCACUGAGCUAAAUCCCCGGCCCGAUAGACCCCUCACUUUGCACAGAGCAACCCACCACCAUUUGACCCCAGCUCUAUCUGCCUCUUCACAUAUAUUAUUUGCCUGAGCCUCUAGUGUUGGGCUUUACAACUUCUGCUUGAUCUGGAUUCCUGGAGAACACUAGGAAAUAUAACCAAGUAAAGAUGCAGAGACCUUUCCACCACAACGUUAGUAGUCUGACAUAGUCAGUUCCUUGGUUUGGGGCAGUACUGUCUGUCCUUUGAAAAAAGGAGGGCAAUAAAACAUGGUGAAAAUCCUCAGAGGAAGAAAAGAGGGAGAGAAACACUGAUGCAGGUAAGUGCCUCCAGUACAGUAUCCUUCUUGGAACAGGUAGGUAAUGAACUCUCUUUGCCCUUGACUACCCCAAAACAAAUUGCCAUUUAAUUUUUUAAUUAAGCUGAAAAAAUAUCAGCCAGUGAAAAGUACAUCAAGCCAAUUCUGCUUUCUUGAACUACUUAACCAUUAACCUUCAUGCUCACAUCUACUUUGGUGAAAAGGACAUCUAUAUUUCUGGGAUAUUAAGGAAAAAAUCUUGCUCAUCACUGACUGUAAAAUGUAGUUCUCUUGCUACAUUUAUAAAACUGUACAGGUAAAAUGAGCUGUGGAUUUGAGAAUGUGGGUGACACAGGAGAGGAAAGACCAGGGAUAGCACAGCCCAUCAUCAGUAUUCAGAUUGUUGAAAUGUUGCCCAUGAAUUAAUUUGUUUAUUCAGGGCUCCCUGAGUAAUUCAUUCCCGUUAUCUUCACUUCUGAAUAAUGAGUUUGUAUCUUUUGAACUUCAUGCUAUUUCUAAAUUGGCCUUAAAACUCAUUUCACAUUUUAGAAUAAUAAUUCCUUUGUAUUAAAAACUAUGUGGACAAGGACGUAAUAAAUAAAAUCCUUUGGACCAAAGGAGACCUGAGUCAUAGUCUCUGCUCUUCUGUGAACCACUGUGUUACUCAGUGUGGUCAUACCACCUCUCUGAGCCUUACUUUUUACUUUGUAAAGAAGAUAUGAGAACUGGAUGAUCUUUCAGACUUUUUGAAAUUUUUAUAUUUUGAGAAACAAAGAAUUGGGAGAUGUUCUUAAAUUCGAGGCAGGCUGGUACCACUGGAUACUAACAAAUAAGUAAAACAUAGUAGUUUCCCUCUGGGUUUCUUUAUGCAAAGACCUAUUUUGAUCACUUUCUUUUUUUUUGAAAAAGCAUACUUAAGCUAGAAAAUCAUAAGAAAUAACACAUACUUUAGAUAUUUUAAGUUAUCACACAUUUAUUUUCUAAUAUUUCAUAGGGCUAAGGACUUUUUUUUUAUUUUUGGGUCUGUUAAUUAGUCAUCCAUUAGAAACUUUGUGACUUCUAGGACUGAUUUAAUGUGGAGCAAGAAUUUAGCCAUUGAGAAAGUUUAUAACAUUUCUUACUUGGUUUCCUUUAUCAAGAUUAAGCAUUUAACUCAGUUUUCACAAUACUGUUUUUGCCUUUGUAUUUCAUUGGUUUAGUUAAUAUUUAAUUACAUUACAUAAUUGUUAUAAUGUGUGCAAAUAGCAUAAGCAAAGACAAUAAUGCUUGGUAAGGAUAGAGCUCAUAUGGAAUGCAGGAAAGUACUGGAUUUGGGGAUACUAUACAUUAGUGAUCAACAUGUUGAGGUCCUAGUUAGUACAUGGAUAAUAAAAAGUCAAUUAGGGGUGGGGAAGUAGCUGAGUCACAAAGUACUUGUCUAUCAUGCUUGAGUCCCUGUGUUCAGUCCCCAGUACUACUAAAUAAGAAAAUAAAUAGUCCAUAAAAUGUAAGUUGAUCAAUCAGACUGCCAAAUGAAUGUUUUCUCAGUUCAAAUUGAUUGCAGGUAAACAAAACAAUCCUAAUAAACUUAGGCAAGGAAAGCAAUUUAUUGGAAGGCUCUGAGAUGACACACUAAACUGAAGGGAAAGCCAAACAGCUAGUUCUCUGAAAAAUAAGAACUUGGGAAACACUGAUUAUCUCAGGAGCAGGCACUAAUGGACAAUCUCUUCAGGGUGUCAUCACUGGAUAAAUUGGCUCCAAAUGUCUUUUCAUCUUUUUGUCACUCUGAUCAAGACCAGACUCUCCAGGAGAGACUCGAAUUGGUCUAUGGCACAUAUGUACUAUCUUAAAGCAAAAACAACAACAACAACAACAAAAAAAACCAGACAAGAUAGAGAACUUCUACAAGACAGCAUGAACUGAGGAUGGAUCAUUCUCCAAAGGCAAUUUAGAAACUGUCACUAGAGGGAGGGAACUAUGCAUGGUGCGCCUAGGCCUAUAUAAGUGUAUUAGUCCAAUAAGAUACAUAGAGAUACAGAGAAAGUGAUUUGUUACGCAGAAUUGGCUCACAUAAUUAUAGAGGCAGAGAAGAUCCAGUUUUUGCUGUCUGCAAGCUGGAGCCUAGGAAAGGUAUAGUUUCACUCCAAAUCUGAAGGCUUGAGGGGCCGGGGAUUUACCUCAGUGGUUCUGCUGCCUACCUCGCAAGCGCAAGGUCCCGAGUUUGAUCCCCAGUAAGAACAACAAUAAAAAAGUGUACCAAAUCUGAAGGCCUGAGAACCAGAAAAGUCCAUGUUCAAGGCCAGAGAACAUGGAUGUUCUAGCUCUAGCAGAGAAAAUUCACCCUUCAUCUGCCUUUGUGCCCUACUCAGACCCUCAGUGGAUUGGAUGACGCCCAUUACCAUUGGUGAUGAGGAUCUUUUUUACACAGCCUACUGAUUCAUAUGUGACUCUCUUCUGGGCAGCCCUGUCAAGUUGACAUAUAAUUUAACCACCACAUUAAAUAUAUGUGCAGAAUAUAGCCUUAGCUAUGGGUUAACAGCGUAAGAGGUGACUAAUGAUUCUGGCUAGAAGGCAGCAAAGGAUGUUCACAAUACAAGAAAACCUUCAGUAGUUGAGUAUAGCAUUAAGCUUCCACAUCUAUUGUUUUCUGAAACUCUCAAGGUUGCAACCUUCAGAAGCUCUAUGCAAAAUGCACCAGUUUCCUUGACCAUCCACACUGUUUCAGCUGAGAGUAGGUGGGGAGGUCUAUAUUCUGGCCGUAGCUUGUUACUUAAUAAAUGUGUGAUCACGGGUGGGCCAUUGCUUCUGAAGCCC
This 14614-nucleotide long non-coding RNA is filed under the name Heterocephalus glaber (naked mole-rat). RNAcentral describes it as "lncRNA (ENSHGLG00000032042.1)". Lineage: Eukaryota; Metazoa; Chordata; Mammalia; Rodentia; Bathyergidae. The record is from RNAcentral.